Molecule: ribosomal RNA, 935 nt
Filed under: Arthrobacter sp.
Lineage: Bacteria; Bacillati; Actinomycetota; Actinomycetes; Micrococcales; Micrococcaceae
Description: bacterial SSU rRNA
Rfam family: Bacterial small subunit ribosomal RNA
Source: RNAcentral
UAUUGGGCGUAAGAGCUCGUAGGCGGUUUGUCGCGUCUGCCGUGAAAGUCCGGGGCUCAACUCCGGAUCUGCGGUGGGUACGGGCAGACUAGAGUGAUGUAGGGGAGACUGGAAUUCCUGGUGUAGCGGUGAAAUGCGCAGAUAUCAGGAGGAACACCGAUGGCGAAGGCAGGUCUCUGGGCAUUAACUGACGCUGAGGAGCGAAAGCAUGGGGAGCGAACAGGAUUAGAUACCCUGGUAGUCCAUGCCGUAAACGUUGGGCACUAGGUGUGGGGGACAUUCCACGUUUUCCGCGCCGUAGCUAACGCAUUAAGUGCCCCGCCUGGGGAGUACGGCCGCAAGGCUAAAACUCAAAGGAAUUGACGGGGGCCCGCACAAGCGGCGGAGCAUGCGGAUUAAUUCGAUGCAACGCGAAGAACCUUACCAAGGCUUGACAUGAACCGGACCGCUGCAGAAAUGUGGUUUCCCCUUUGGGGCUGGUUUACAGGUGGUGCAUGGUUGUCGUCAGCUCGUGUCGUGAGAUGUUGGGUUAAGUCCCGCAACGAGCGCAACCCUCGUUCUAUGUUGCCAGCACGUGAUGGUGGGGACUCAUAGGAGACUGCCGGGGUCAACUCGGAGGAAGGUGGGGACGACGUCAAAUCAUCAUGCCCCUUAUGUCUUGGGCUUCACGCAUGCUACAAUGGCCGGUACAAAGGGUUGCGAUACUGUGAGGUGGAGCUAAUCCCAAAAAGCCGGUCUCAGUUCGGAUUGGGGUCUGCAACUCGACCCCAUGAAGUCGGAGUCGCUAGUAAUCGCAGAUCAGCAACGCUGCGGUGAAUACGUUCCCGGGCCUUGUACACACCGCCCGUCAAGUCACGAAAGUUGGUAACACCCGAAGCCGGUGGCCUAACCCCUUGUGGGAGGGAGCUGUCGAAGGUGGGACUGGCGAUUGGGAC